Long non-coding RNA from Oryctolagus cuniculus (rabbit), 2728 nucleotides. The record is from Ensembl. Lineage: Eukaryota; Metazoa; Chordata; Mammalia; Lagomorpha; Leporidae.
AGACAUACGGAUGCGACAGACCCUCGCUCCAGCUCUGUGACUUGACUUCUCAGUACCUCCCUCGAGGGUGGAGAGGAUCUGGGAUAAUGCAGGCAAAAUGUGGACUCGUGUCCACUCCUCCCUGGUCAUCGGUUGUUCCCCGGGGGCACCUGGGGUCCUGAAGGGGGGGGGGUGCCAUGGCCAAGCCGCAUUAGCCAGGACGAGGGUGGUCACAGGCUGGCUCAAAUGACAAGGACAUCUUGGCUCGCUAAACUGGAAGGUCCUGAGGUGCCUGAGGCUUUAGCACAGUGGGACCCCGGGGUGAUGGCCCGCGUGGGCACGGCGGGAGUGCUCGGUCUGACCCGGGCAGAGAGCUGUGAAAUGGACUGGAUUCGGGUCACCGGCUUGCCCUCCAGACUUGCAGGGGCCUCCAUGGUGCUGUCUCUGGCUGGAAUGAUUUCCACUGCAGGUCCCGCCCUCUGCUGGCCCACUCAGGGACCCGACGGUCAGCGCACAGGUGCUUCUGGAUCCCCCGGGAGGCGGCGGCGCCUGGCGUUCUGCCCAUGAUCUGUUUGGUGGAAAUCGCCUCUGAAGCCCUGGGAUCCACAGGGAGGGGUGACAGGUGAGGGUCAAGGCUGUGCCUUGUCUUGAGCGUCCUCCUUGCAGCCGCGUCCUCCUUGCAGCCGCGCUCUUGCUUCCAGGGUUCUGUGAGCUCCUCCCUGAGUGGCCUCAAGCUGCCUGCAUGGAGGGCACCCCGGCACCGCAGCUGUAGCCCCUGCACCAGCCCCGCGACCCUGGACAAGUUGACCCACCACUCUGAGCCUUGGCCUCCGCCACUGUAAAAUGAGAUGGACGUCCAGGUACCGACACAGACACGUGCACAGAUGGCCGUGUGGGUGUUCUCCAUGAGUGUAUUCUAAACAGCCAGCAUCCAAUCCAUGGACAAACCGUGUGCACACACGCGAUGCCCUGCUGAUGCAAACGGAUGGCUCUCCAAACCUGCCACGGGCGGAGAAAGAUGGCUACCUGCAGUUCCAAGCCGCAUCCUAUCAUCUUGGCAGCUCCCGCAGGAAGAGUGUCUUCUUCACCCACAGCUGCUACAGAGUCUCCAAGUCUGUGUUCGUGACUGGGUCACAUCCUGAGUCUAAAGCCACAGGGUGGGGUCGGCCCCACCUGAACCCCAGGCGUGCGGGCUAUGGGAGACGUGGCUCCCCGCGGGAGAGAUGGUAUUGUCUGCAAAGCGAGCCAAGAAAGCCAUCCGAGGGCCGGCACUUCUCAGCAGGGUGUGGUGGUACCACGCCUUCUCACCACGGCCAGGCCACUGGAGUGGAGCCCAACCUCGCUACCUCAAGCCCAUGGUUUUUCUGUGACGUCACCAGCUCUGCCUGGUUAGAUACGAGACAAAACAGAAAGCGAGCACAAACUGCUUCCCCGCCGCUCAAGCCAAACAAAGCCCUUCCUGCCUGUGCUGGGCCAGCCGUCUACACCCCGAGGAUGCGGGCAGGGGCAGGAGUUCAGCCACUCUGGCCCAGGCCCAGCAGCAAUGCCAGGACCUGCAGGACAACUUCCCCCCACCCCCAGAAGAGGGGAAGGCUCCCUCCCCCUCCCCCGUGGCCCAGAGCUGCAGCGCAUUCAACACAGACAGGCAUCCCAGCAGGGCCCGAGGAGGCUGCUGCCCGCCCUAACCCCUGGAGCUGCAAGCUCCUGUCUCAGGCUUGCAUCCCACCCAGAAGGAGAAUCAGAAGUUGAUUGAAGUAGCAGAGAAAGUGAGGCCAGUACAAAUGGCCAUGUCCCUUGAUGCGACUCUGCCUUCAGAACCAGGUACGGCUCAUCCCCCUCUAACCCAGGAGCACAUGGCCUGAGGGUCCCCAGCUGCCUGGCAGACUCACUGGAGGAACAGGCAAGAAGCAACAAAGAUUCCAAGCUCUGGGUACCCCCAGCAAUGCAGAUCCAACUGGGCAAGGCUCAGGCACCGGCUCCCCAGGUGAGUCUAGGGCCACGGGACCAGCAGUGCUGUGGCGGCCCCUGGCCCACACGGCCAGCAUCCUCUGCCAGCCUCAUCAACCCUGGUUUACAGAGAACCCCAGGGCUGGACAAAUCUCAGUGCUUCCUGGCUGGGGACCCACAGUGCGUCCCACUCAGCAAAAGGAGAGCAAAGGCGCUCUGACUCCAGCAGGCACGGGGACGUUGCUGGAAGGGGCUUCGGGCCUGCCUCUUAGAAAAGGCCUGAUCCUGGGCGCUGGGCAGGGCACACGGGUGCUGCGGAAGCAGUAAGGAUCGGUUUCAUUAGCACACAGCAUCCCUGGUCACGGGCAUUCAUCAGCCCUGUCUUGUCACCAACAUGCUACAGCCUUAGAAGGCCAUUUGUUUGCAGUUGGGAAAACAAAAAAGCAAUAAUCGGUGUUGUUUUUGAUGUAGUUUUGUUUUUUGCAAAUGCUUAGAGUAACACAUGAGGAAUGCCUGCAAGAACAAAGUUUUGGGGGACAGAAGGGCAGGGCAGAGGUUACUGGGGUACAUGGGCAAUUUGAAAUAAGCAGAGGCUAGCAUGGCCAUUCAGGGACCACGUCUGACCACCCCUAUCUGGGAGGUGGGGGGAAUCUCAUUUCAGGAGAGCCCCGCCCUCUGCUUACCAAGAAGCGACAGAUGGCAUCCACGGUGGAGCUUGAGCUGUGAGCCGUCCCCUUCCCUGUGUCCGGCGGAGCUGGCGUGGAGGCGGAGCCAAAGCAGGAAGAUGAUCGCAGUCAGGGUC